UACGAGUGGUGCAAGCGUUAUUCGGAUUUAUUGGGCGUAAAGGGUGCGCAGACGGUUUGUUAAGUCACCUGUUAAAUUCUCUGGCCUAACCAGAGGCAUGCGGGUGAAACUGGCGAACUAGAGGGUGGAAGAGAGAAGUGGAAUUCUCGGAGUAGCGGUAAAAUGCGUAGAUCUCGAGAGGAACACCAAUGGCGAAGGCAGCUUCUUGGUCCAUUUCUGACGUUCAUGCACGAAAGCGUGGGGAGCAAACAGG
RNAcentral lists this ribosomal RNA (253 nucleotides) under uncultured bacterium. Its description in RNAcentral is "partial 16S ribosomal RNA". It matches the Rfam family "Bacterial small subunit ribosomal RNA", at positions 524 to 776 of the family's 1533-position model. The record is from RNAcentral.